UACAGCGACAAUAUUUUCUCCCUUUUCAUAGGCUAAUGUUGAAAACACAGCUCAAUAUGUGUUUUUUACGCUACGAUAUUAUUUAGGAAAUAGUGACAAUUUAUUUUACAUUUAAGUUUUAUGUUCGAGUUCAAGUUAUCUUUAUCUACACAAUAAAAGACCCCGGAAGUCCUGUCACGGUUUGUAAACACAUGGCUUGUAGUCGCGUCUGAUGCUCAGUUAUGCACAAACUGUUUGAUAUAAAGUUUCCAGGAGACUGUCAGACUCUUCCUGAGGGUUUCUGGUCGGCUGUGGACGUGUGGAUAAAGAAACCUCACGUUGUCAACAAGCGUCUCUGCGGGGUGAAGGAGACUGAGAGUAAAGAUGUGGACAGAGAGGCUGUGCAGCUCCUGCUGGGUGAUGAUGCUGAAGUCACCCAGGAUGUGUUGUCCUUCAUGACAAGCAGGGUGUCACCGGCACAGACACACCAACAGGAUAACCUGUGGUCCUCUAGUGUCAGGACAUUUAUUCCUAAAGUAAACAGUUAUGGGACAAACCUGCAGAAAGAGGUGAUACUCAAAGACUUUGGCAGACAGCAGGUGACCUUUGUUCCAUUUGAAGAGGAAACAGGAGGACAGGUGUCUCUAAAGAGGGGUAACAUUUAUCAGCUGCAGCUCCUCCAUCAGGACUGUGAGGGAUGGGCCUUGGAGCUGCACGUGUUGGCUUCAGAUGCGUGGUUCUCUGAUGGCGUUGCGUACCCAAAGCUGCCCUGGCUGUCCAGUGACCUGCUACCUAAACUGGUGCGCUGGGCCACUGAGUGCAAGAGCAGUGAGUUCAGGAGCACCUUGUCCCUGCUGCCGGUGGAGAAGUACAGUGUCAUGUACCAGCAGCUGAAGGAGAAGUACAAGGCCAUGGUCAAGGUUUGGCCUGAGGUUACAGAUCCUGAGAAGUUUGUCUACGAGGAUGUUGCCAUUGCUACGUAUCUGCUUGUGCUGUGGGCUGAGGAGAGAGCAGAGAAAGGUCUGAGUGCCAGACAGUCCUUUGUGGACCUGGGCUGUGGAAACGGCCUCCUGGUUCACAUACUGGCCAAUGAAGGGCAUCCUGGAAAGGGCAUCGAUGUUCGGAAGAGGAAGAUCUGGGACAUGUACGGCCCCCAGACUGUGCUAGAGGAAAAGGCAAUUACUCCCAGCGAGAGCUUCUUAUUCCCGGGUACGGACUGGCUGAUUGGGAACCACUCGGACGAGCUCACACCGUGGAUCCCCGUUAUAGCUGCCAGGUCAUCGUACUCCUGCCGGUAUUUCGUCCUCCCCUGCUGUUUCUUUGACUUCUAUGCAAAGUAUCAGAGACGCCAGUGUAAGAAGUCUCAGUAUAAAGAAUACAUCGACUUCAUCACGGAGGUCAGCCAAGUUAGCGGCUUCAACACUGAGGAGGACUGCCUGAGGAUACCGUCCACCAAACGGGUGUGUCUGGUGGGAAAAUCAAGAAACUACCAGCUAUCUGACGAGGCUGAGGCAGAGCAGCGAAGAGCUCAUUACAUCCAGAGCCAUCAGACUGCCCCUGGGGCCGCAGUUCAAAGGUCGGAGAUCAGAAAUGAUGGUGAUUGUUGCCAUGGGAACAAAGACACUGACAGGACGCCCGAUGGCAGCUGGGGAGCAGGGUUCCAACCCAGAGACAGGGUUGAAACGGUUCGAAACUGCGCUGCUCUCCCCCGGGACUUUGUUGACGGCGUUGUCCUGCGGGUCGCCAAUGUUCUUCUAGGAUUGACUGGUGAUGACGGGACCUCCAGUGACUGGAAUCAAGGAGGCAGCCUCUCUGUGAGCGAGGUCGCCGGGCUGUUGGAGCAGGAAACCCUGCAGCUCCUGAAGAAGGAGUGUGGAGGCCUUCAGACACUAAUCAAGAACAACCACCAAGUCUUCAGAGUGGAAGGAGGCAGGGUGUACAUACGAGACUGGCGGGACAGGAAGUCCUCCAGGGCGGAUACCCAGAGGAAGCCAGUUGCCCCCGGUGCCCUGAAAACUCGCCCCUGCUGGUUCUAUGACCACCACCCUCAGCGCUGCCCCCUGCAGGCUGAACACUGUGGCUUCGCCCAUGGACCUGACGACCUCCGACCCUCGACCAGGCCUCUGAAGAAGAUGAAAAACAGUGCCUUUUGAUUGGCUCAUUCCUCCUCAACACUCAUUUAGUUAGUAGAUUUUUAAAUUGAGGAACUACUUUUCUAAUUAACAGCAUUCACUCUGUGAAUGCAGUCUGUUGAACCUCCUGGAAAAGUCUCGACAUCCAGACCUGCAGCCACAGACAGGAAGAAGCUCAGGCCAAAGCUGUGAAGAAAUCAAUUCAUGAAAAUACUCCUGCCGCUCCAGGUCUGCAAAGAUCAUCCGGUGCAAUCGACCUACUGCCCUACAUUUAACUGCAGACGAGCGUGACGUGCCCGGGCAGCGGAGGUGUUCACCUGCAUUAUUCCCAGCUCCACACACUUGCAGCCACUCUCGCCGUGACCUUGUGACCCAGGCCCUUUCUGACUGCUGUUCAAUAAGCCAUAAUUAUGACUGUUUAUGUCCGCCUUGCACCGCUGCCCUGGAGACCAAAGGACAGCAAGAGCAAGCAAUAUUACCCCUCACACACCUCCAUCACUCCAUCCCUCCCCACACUGGGGAGGGGAGUCUCCCUCCCCCCUGCCCUGAUGUAAACACUGCUAUUAAUUAGCAUAUAUGCUACCAGUGCUGUGAUUAAUGAGCGGUGAUGCUGUAGCACAAAAGCACCUGGUUAUGGUCAGGAGAAGAUCAUGUUACCUGCUUUUGGUGCCACAAACACAACUGGAAUUGCAACUGAUGUUUCGCUAAAAAACACCCACUUUUGGCAGGACUAUAAAAGGUUUGUUGUUUGUUGGUCGCAAGCAGUGGUCUGCAGCUUGGCAGCAGCGUCCCAUCUCACCUUUGAACGUUUAUGCAUCACGUGAAUUUGUACAAAUGUAAAAAUCAGUGAUUCACAGAACGUACAAUGCCGAUUUUUUCUUCUGGUUACUGGGCUGUAAUUGGCAGAUAAGAACAUGUCUUGACAUUUACCCCAGAAGAAAAACCCACAGUUGCAAAAUUACAUCACUUUUAACUAUCUCUAAAAAUAUAUAUAAUGGUUUAAAAAAGAAAAACACACAUUUACAUAGUCA
Molecule: non-coding RNA, 3142 nt
Organism: Epinephelus lanceolatus (giant grouper)
Lineage: Eukaryota; Metazoa; Chordata; Actinopteri; Perciformes; Serranidae
Source: RefSeq, a predicted model, not a curated record